RNAcentral lists this ribosomal RNA (459 nucleotides) under uncultured bacterium. RNAcentral describes it as "partial 16S ribosomal RNA". It matches the Rfam family "Bacterial small subunit ribosomal RNA", at positions 338 to 795 of the family's 1533-position model. The record is from RNAcentral.
CCUACGGGUGGCAGCAGUGAGGAAUAUUGGUCAAUGGCCGGAAGGCUGAACCAGCCAAGCCGCGUGAAGGACGAAGGUGCCAAGCAUUGUAAACUUCUUUUGUCAAGGGACAAAAUCAGGCUCGAGAGCCUGACCGAGGGUACUUGAAGCAAAAGCAUCGGCUAACUCCGUGCCAGCAGCCGCGGUAAUACGUAGGGAGCGAGCGUUAUCCGGAAUUAUUGGGGUUAAGGGGUGCGUAGAUGGCAUAGUAAGUCUUUUGUAAAAAUGCUGGGCUAAACCCCAUAGGGCAAAAGAGACUGCAAAGCGAGAGAAUGACAGAGGCAAGGGGAAUGACAGGUGUAGCGGGAAAAGGCGUAAAGAUAUGUAAGAAAACCAGUGGCGAAGGCGGCUUGCUGGGUGGAUACUGACAUUGAGGCACGAAAGCGUGGGGAGCAAACAGGAUUAGAUACCCCAGUAGUC